AUGUUGUUUCGAUAGACCCUGCGUGAAAAACACCAGGGAAUCUGUAUUUAAUUGACCUCAAUAUUAUGCGUAAAACUAAGUGUGCAUUUGUAGGCGGUGUCGAAAUGGGUCUUUAGCUCUGCCUGAACUGUCGUCCAAUUGGUUUACAAGUCCGGCUGAAGUGACAGGCCACCAAAAACUGUACAGCAUGACUGAUUCGGAGACGGCCCUCAACACUCGCCCAGUCGUGUCGAGAGGAUCGGUGUCUUUGCAGAUUACACGGAAUUGAGCACCUGGGCCAGACUGACACUUUCCGGAGCCUGUCCGAGACGGAACUUGAGCCGAGGAAUCAUAGGUCCAGGCGGUGUCGAAAUGGGUCUUUAGCUCUGCCUGAACUGUCGUCCAAUUGGUUUACAAGUCCGGCUGAAGUGACAGGCCAUCAAAAACUGUACAGCAUCACUGAUUCGGAGACGGCCC
Molecule: long non-coding RNA, 456 nt
Organism: Dreissena polymorpha
Lineage: Eukaryota; Metazoa; Mollusca; Bivalvia; Myida; Dreissenidae
Exons: 3
Source: RefSeq, a predicted model, not a curated record